GACGAACGCUGGCGGCGUGCUUAACACAUGCAAGUCGAACGGAAAGGCCCUGCUUUUGUGGGGUGCUCGAGUGGCGAACGGGUGAGUAACACGUGAGUAACCUGCCCUUGACUUUGGGAUAACUUCAGGAAACUGGGGCUAAUACCGGAUAGGAGCUCCUGCUGCAUGGUGGGGGUUGGAAAGUUUCGGCGGUUGGGGAUGGACUCGCGGCUUAUCAGCUUGUUGGUGGGGUAGUGGCUUACCAAGGCUUUGACGGGUAGCCGGCCCGAGAGGGUGACCGGCCACAUUGGGACUGAGAUACGGCCCAGACUCCUACGGGAGGCAGCAGUGGGGAAUAUUGCACAAUGGGCGGAAGCCUGAUGCAGCAACGCCGCGUGCGGGAUGACGGCCUUCGGGUUGUAAACCGCUUUCGCCUGUGACGAAGCGUGAGUGACGGUAAUGGGUAAGGAAGCACCGGCUAACUACGUG
RNAcentral lists this ribosomal RNA (468 nucleotides) under uncultured bacterium. Its description in RNAcentral is "partial 16S ribosomal RNA". It matches the Rfam family "Bacterial small subunit ribosomal RNA", at positions 28 to 507 of the family's 1533-position model. The record is from RNAcentral.